UAGGGAAUAUUGGACAAUGGGCGCAAGCCUGAUCCAGCUAUGUCGCGUGAAUGAUGAAGGUCUAAUGGAUUGUAAAGUUCUUUCAGCAGGGAAGAUAAUGACGGUACCUGCAUAAGAAGCCCCGGCUAACUCCGUG
RNAcentral lists this ribosomal RNA (136 nucleotides) under uncultured bacterium. Its description in RNAcentral is "partial 16S ribosomal RNA". It matches the Rfam family "Bacterial small subunit ribosomal RNA", at positions 355 to 507 of the family's 1533-position model. The record is from RNAcentral.